UACGGAGGGUGCAAGCGUUAUCCGGAUUCACUGGGUUUAAAGGGUGCGUAGGCGGGCAUUUAAGUCAGUGGUGAAAUACCUGAGCUUAACUUGGGAACUGCCAUUGAUACUAUUUGUCUUGAAUGUCGUGGAGGUUAGCGGAAUAUGUCAUGUAGCGGUGAAAUGCUUAGAUAUGACAUAGAACACCAAUUGCGAAGGCAGCUCACUACACGAAUAUUGACACUGAGGCACGAAAGCGUGGGGAUCAAACAGG
This 253-nucleotide ribosomal RNA is filed under the name uncultured bacterium. RNAcentral describes it as "partial 16S ribosomal RNA". It matches the Rfam family "Bacterial small subunit ribosomal RNA", at positions 524 to 776 of the family's 1533-position model. The record is from RNAcentral.